AUACGGAGGAUCCAAGCGUUAUCCGGAUUUAUUGGGUUUAAAGGGUGCGUAGGCGGACUGGUAAGUCAGCUGUGAAAGUUUGCGGCUUAACCGUAAAAUUGCAGUUGAUACUGUCAGUCUUGAGUGUGCAUGAGGUGGGCGGAAUUUGUGGUGUAGCGGUGAAAUGCUUAGAUAUCACGAGGAACUCCAAUUGCGAAGGCAGCUCACUGGGGCAUAACUGACGCUGAUGCACGAAGGUGUGGGUAUCAAACAGGAUUAGAUACCCUGGUAGUCCACACAGUAAACUAUGAAUACUCGCUGUUUGCGAUAUACAGUAAGCGGCCAAGCGAAAGCAUUAAGCAUUCCACCUGGGGAGUACGCCGGCAACGGUGAAACUUAAAGGAAUUGACGGGG
Molecule: ribosomal RNA, 393 nt
Filed under: uncultured bacterium
Lineage: Bacteria
Description: partial 16S ribosomal RNA
Rfam family: Bacterial small subunit ribosomal RNA
Source: RNAcentral